GAUGAACGCUGGCGGCGUGCCUAAUACAUGCAAGUCGAGCGAACAGACGAGGAGCUUGCUCCUCUGACGUUAGCGGCGGACGGGUGAGUAACACGUGGAUAACCUACCUAUAAGACUGGGAUAACUUCGGGAAACCGGAGCUAAUACCGGAUAAUAUAUUGAACCGCAUGGUUCAAUAGUGAAAGACGGUUUUGCUGUCACUUAUAGAUGGAUCCGCGCCGCAUUAGCUAGUUGGUAAGGUAACGGCUUACCAAGGCAACGAUGCGUAGCCGACCUGAGAGGGUGAUCGGCCACACUGGAACUGAGACACGGUCCAGACUCCUACGGGAGGCAGCAGUAGGGAAUCUUCCACAAUGGGCGAAAGCCUGACGGAGCAACGCCGCGUGAGUGAUGAAGGUCUUCGGAUCGUAAAACUCUGUUAUUAAGGAAGAACAAAUGUGUAAGUAACUAUGCACGUCUUGACGGUACCUAAUCAGAAAGCCACGGCUAACUACGUG
Molecule: ribosomal RNA, 497 nt
Filed under: uncultured bacterium
Lineage: Bacteria
Description: partial 16S ribosomal RNA
Rfam family: Bacterial small subunit ribosomal RNA
Source: RNAcentral